Molecule: small nuclear RNA, 106 nt
Organism: Acinonyx jubatus (cheetah)
Lineage: Eukaryota; Metazoa; Chordata; Mammalia; Carnivora; Felidae
Source: RefSeq, a predicted model, not a curated record
GUAAUUUUCUUUUUUUUUUUUUUUUUAAAUUGGAAGGAUACAGAGAAGAUUAGCACGGCCCCUGUGCCAGGGUGACAUGUGAAUUUGUGAAGCAUUCCGCAUUUUU